This 349-nucleotide long non-coding RNA is filed under the name Brassica napus (rape). RNAcentral describes it as "long non-coding RNA (BNAP_LNC012451)". The record is from RNAcentral. Lineage: Eukaryota; Viridiplantae; Streptophyta; Magnoliopsida; Brassicales; Brassicaceae.
AUACGGUAUCUUAUCGAAUCACCAAAGAUUUUUAUUUGUAUUUUUAAAAUUUCAUCAAAAUCACCCAAAUAACAUCAAAACUAACCUAAAUCCCAUUAAAAUUAAAAACCCUAAAAGCUUCAAAAACCCUUCAUUCAGUAUAUUGACCAAAAUUAAUAUUUCAUGUUUCAAAUCACCUAAAAAAACUUUAAAAUCUAUACGGUAUCCUAUCGAAUCACCAAAGAUUUUUAUUUGUAUUUUUAAAAUUUCAUCAAAAUCACCCAAAUAACAUCAAAACUAACCUAAAUCCCAUUAAAAUUAAAAAACCCUAAAAGCUUCAAAAACCCUUCAUUCAGUACACUCCCCCCCC